CUGUGGCUGGGGGUGAAAGGCCAAUCAAACCGGGAGAUAGCUGGUUCUCCCCGAAAGCUAUUUAGGUAGCGCCUCGUGAACUCAUCUCCGGGGGUAGAGCACUGUUUCGGCUAGGGGGCCAUCCCGGCUUACCAACCCGAUGCAAACUGCGAAUACCGGAGAAUGUUAUCACGGGAGACACACGGCGGGUGCUAACGUCCGUCGUGAAGAGGGAAACAACCCAGACCGCCAGCUAAGGUCCCAAAGUCAUGGUUAAGUGGGAAACGAUGUGGGAAGGCCCAGACAGCCAGGAUGUUGGCUUAGAAGCAGCCAUCAUUUAAAGAAAGCGUAAUAGCUCACUGGUCGAGUCGGCCUGCGCGGAAGAUGUAACGGGGCUAAACCAUGCACCGAAGCUGCGGCAGCGACGCUUAUGCGUUGUUGGGUAGGGGAGCGUUCUGUAAGCCUGCGAAGGUGUGCUGUGAGGCAUGCUGGAGGUAUCAGAAGUGCGAAUGCUGACAUAAGUAACGAUAAAGCGGGUGAAAAGCCCGCUCGCCGGAAGACCAAGGGUUCCUGUCCAACGUUAAUCGGGGCAGGGUGAGUCGACCCCUAAGGCGAGGCCGAAAGGCGUAGUCGAUGGGAAACAGGUUAAUAUUCCUGUACUUGGUGUUACUGCGAAGGGGGGACGGAGAAGGCUAUGUCGGCCGGGCGACGGUUGUCCCGGUUUAAGCGUGUAGGCUGACUUUCCAGGCAAAUCCGGAAAGUUAAGGCUGAGGCGUGAUGACGAGGCACUACGGUGCUGAAGUGACAAAUGCCCUGCUUCCAGGAAAAGCCUCUAAGCAUCAGGUAACAUCAAAUCGUACCCCAAACCGACACAGGUGGUCAGGUAGAGAAUACCAAGGCGCUUGAGAGAACUCGGGUGAAGGAACUAGGCAAAAUGGUGCCGUAACUUCGGGAGAAGGCACGCUGACAUGUAGGUGAAGCCCCUGCGGGUGGAGCUGAAGUCAGUCGAAGAUACCAGCUGGCUGCAACUGUUUAUUAAAAACACAGCACUGUGCAAACACGAAAGUGGACGUAUACGGUGUGACGCCUGCCCGGUGCCGGAAGGUUAAUUGAUGGGGUUAUCGCAAGAGAAGCUCCUGAUCGAAGCCCCGGUAAACGGCGGCCGUAACUAUAACGGUCCUAAGGUAGCGAAAUUCCUUGUCGGGUAAGUUCCGACCUGCACGAAUGGCGUAAUGAUGGCCAGGCUGUCUCCACCCGAGACUCAGUGAAAUUGAACUCGCUGUGAAGAUGCAGUGUACCCGCGGCAAGACGGAAAGACCCCGUGAACCUUUACUACAGCUUGACACUGAACAUUGAGCCUUGAUGUGUAGGAUAGGUGGGAGGCUUUGAAGCGUGGACGCCAGUCUGCGUGGAGCCGACCUUGAAAUACCACCCUUUAAUGUUUGAUGUUCUAACCUGGCGCCGUGAUCCGGCGUGGGGACAGUGUCUGGUGGGUAGUUUGACUGGGGCGGUCUCCUCCCAAAGUGUAACGGAGGAGCACGAAGGUCAGCUAAUCCUGGUCGGACAUCAGGAGGUUAGUGCAAUGGCAUAAGCUGGCUUGACUGCGAGAGUGACGGCUCGAGCAGGUGCGAAAGCAGGUCAUAGUGAUCCGGUGGUUCUGUAUGGAAGGGCCAUCGCUCAACGGAUAAAAGGUACUCCGGGGAUAACAGGCUGAUACCGCCCAAGAGUUCAUAUCGACGGCGGUGUUUGGCACCUCGAUGUCGGCUCAUCACAUCCUGGGGCUGAAGUAGGUCCCAAGGGUAUGGCUGUUCGCCAUUUAAAGUGGUACGCGAGCUGGGUUUAGAACGUCGUGAGACAGUUCGGUCCCUAUCUGCCGUGGGCGCUGGAGAAUUGAGGGGGGCUGCUCCCAGUACGAGAGGACCGGAGUGGACGCAUCACUGGUGUUCGGGUUGUCAUGCCAAUGGCACUGCCCGGUAGCUAAAUGCGGAAGAGAUAAGUGCUGAAAGCAUCUAAGCACGAAACUUGCCCCGAGAUGAGUUCUCCCUGAGACUAUAAGUCUCCUGAAGGAACGUUGAAGACGACGACGUUGAUAGGCCGGGUGUGUAAGCGCAGCGAUGCGUUGAGCUAACCGGUACUAAUGAACCGUGAGGCUUAACCUU
This 2138-nucleotide ribosomal RNA is filed under the name Cronobacter sakazakii. Its description in RNAcentral is "bacterial LSU rRNA". It matches the Rfam family "Bacterial large subunit ribosomal RNA", at positions 809 to 2925 of the family's 2925-position model. The record is from RNAcentral. Lineage: Bacteria; Pseudomonadati; Pseudomonadota; Gammaproteobacteria; Enterobacterales; Enterobacteriaceae.